RNAcentral lists this ribosomal RNA (1073 nucleotides) under Didymellaceae sp. Its description in RNAcentral is "SSU rRNA". It matches the Rfam family "Eukaryotic small subunit ribosomal RNA", at positions 40 to 1123 of the family's 1831-position model. Lineage: Eukaryota; Fungi; Ascomycota; Dothideomycetes; Pleosporales; Didymellaceae. The record is from RNAcentral.
AAGAUAAGCCAUGCAUGUCUAAGUAUAAGCAAUUAUACCGUGAAACUGCGAAUGGCUCAUUAAAUCAGUUAUCGUUUAUUUGAUAGUACCUUACUACUUGGAUAACCGUGGUAAUUCUAGAGCUAAUACAUGCUGAAAACCCCAACUUCGGGAGGGGUGUAUUUAUUAGAUAAAAAACCAACGCCCUUCGGGGCUUCUUGGUGAUUCAUGAUAACUUCACGGAUCGCAUGGCCUUGCGCCGGCGACGGUUCAUUCAAAUUUCUGCCCUAUCAACUUUCGAUGGUAAGGUAUUGGCUUACCAUGGUUUCAACGGGUAACGGGGAAUUAGGGUUCGAUUCCGGAGAGGGAGCCUGAGAAACGGCUACCACAUCCAAGGAAGGCAGCAGGCGCGCAAAUUACCCAAUCCCGACACGGGGAGGUAGUGACAAUAAAUACUGAUACAGGGCUCUUUUGGGUCUUGUAAUUGGAAUGAGUACAAUUUAAACCUCUUAACGAGGAACAAUUGGAGGGCAAGUCUGGUGCCAGCAGCCGCGGUAAUUCCAGCUCCAAUAGCGUAUAUUAAAGUUGUUGCAGUUAAAAAGCUCGUAGUUGAAACUUGGGCCUGGCUGGCAGGUCCGCCUCACCGCGUGUACUUGUCCGGCCGGGCCUUUCCUUCUGGAGAACCUCAUGCCCUUCACUGGGUGUGUUGGGGAACCAGGACUUUUACUUUGAAAAAAUUAGAGUGUUCAAAGCAGGCCUUUGCUCGAAUACGUUAGCAUGGAAUAAUAGAAUAGGACGUGCGGUCCUAUUUUGUUGGUUUCUAGGACCGCCGUAAUGAUUAAUAGGGACAGUCGGGGGCAUCAGUAUUCAAUUGUCAGAGGUGAAAUUCUUGGAUUUAUUGAAGACUAACUACUGCGAAAGCAUUUGCCAAGGAUGUUUUCAUUAAUCAGUGAACGAAAGUUAGGGGAUCGAAGACGAUCAGAUACCGUCGUAGUCUUAACCGUAAACUAUGCCGACUAGGGAUCGGGCGAUGUUCUUUUUCUGACUCGCUCGGCACCUUACGAGAAAUCAAAGUUUUUGGGUUCUGGGGGGAG